Molecule: ribosomal RNA, 505 nt
Filed under: uncultured bacterium
Lineage: Bacteria
Description: partial 16S ribosomal RNA
Rfam family: Bacterial small subunit ribosomal RNA
Source: RNAcentral
GACGAACGCUGGCGGCGUGCCUAAUACAUGCAAGUAGAACGCACAGUUUAUACCGUAGCUCGCUCCACCAUAGACUGUGAGUUGCGAACGGGUGAGUAACGCGUAGGUAACCUGCCUGGUAGCGGGGGAUAACUAUUGGAAACGAUAGCUAAUACCGCAUAAUAUUGAUUAUUGCAUGAUAAUUGAUUGAAAGAUGCUAUUUCAUCACUACCACAUGGACCUGCGUUGUAUUAGCUAGUAGGUGAGGUAACGGCUCACCUAGGCGACGAUACAUAGCCGACCUGAGAGGGUGAUCGGCCACACUGGGACUGAGACACGGCCCAGACUCCUACGGGAGGCAGCAGUAGGGAAUCUUCGGCAAUGGACGAAAGUCUGACCGAGCAACGCCGCGUGAGUGAAGAAGGUUUUCGGAUCGUAAAGCUCUGUUGUAAGAGAAGAACGGGUGUGAGAGUGGAAAGUUCACACUGUGACGGUAUCUUACCAGAAAGGGACGGCUAACUACGUG